Long non-coding RNA from Lates calcarifer (barramundi perch), 1289 nucleotides. RefSeq lists it as uncharacterized. The record is from RefSeq and is a predicted model, not a curated record. The transcript has 5 exons. Lineage: Eukaryota; Metazoa; Chordata; Actinopteri; Centropomidae.
CAAGGAUAGAGAGAGAAAGAAGGUCAAAUCAAACUUUAGCCCCUGCUAACAAUGUCAUUUUUAAAAUGUAAGCACAAAUGGAGGCACUCUGCAUUACAGGAGCGAGUGUCGUCAUCCCUCUGUCAGGUUUUGUAAGCAUCAUUUAUUGGAAAACACCCGUUUCAGUCUACUGGUAUUCUGGACUCUUGCAACCUUAGGUGAUGUUGGACUGUGUCCAGAGUUAGCGAUACACAAGCUGUGUUUUGAGUGCUACAUGCUAUGCUACAGCAGCACCAGGCCACAUUAGGUGUCAAGGAGGAUUUUCUGUGUAAAUACCAUAUACACAGCAAUGUAGAGGCACUAUUUAUUAUUAUUAUACACACAUUAUACUGUAUUUACAAUAUUACACUACACACAUACAUUUUGAAUUAUCAAAGCCCCCUCUGUCAAAAGGUCCUACACACUCUGACACAUGUUUUCAAUCAGGUCUCAGGGUGUUGCCCAAUGCAGCUAUGCUGGGGAUUACAUGACACACAAAACUCUGUGUACCAGAGAGACUGAUAACUGUCCCUGACAGGUGCAACAAAACCAACAGGAGAGAUGUCUGUCAAGCUCAGUCUGUACACACCCACACAGUCUUGAGAUCUAAUCAGUCAGUGUUAAGUCAAAACACCUGUGUGGGUGAAAAGUGGGCGUGUACAGGCUUUAUCACAUGUGUUCACAGCCUGACCCUCAGUCAGGUGGCUCUGUAUAGAGUUCAUAUGGAGACUGUCUUUAAACUUCUGUAUUCCAGGCAGAUUACCGCCAUGUAUACAGUCCGGUAUGUGGCAGUGUUUCUGUGAGAUAGCUUUCUACUGUUCAACACUGAAGUACCUCACAUGGGCACUUUUGCAAAUCACUGUCUCUCUUGGAUUAACUGCUGAGGCUGGAGUGAAACCACCCUGAACAUUUGAAGAUUCUGCACUUUGGUCAGCGUUUGAAAAAAAAUCUGAGACCUCUCACCUGGAAUCUCCUGCUGUUCCCUCUCCUCUUUACUGGAGAAACUCACCACGUUGAGCAGCAUGAUGAUGCAGAAGUUGAUGCAGACUGCCGUGCCCGUGGUCGCCACCUGAGAGUUGUUCCUGAUGAGAGCCCAGCCGAAGGCGGCGAAGGUGCUGACGGUGAUCACACGGUGCAGAAAUACCAAAUCUUAAAUGACAACAUGGAGUGACAGUUUUACCUCCUCUUCCUCCCAGUCAAUGAGGUCCCAGUCGUAUGCGAGGACAGCUCUGCGUCUUUUCCAGAACUCCAGGAAGACCGUUGCUGAAACA